This 529-nucleotide ribosomal RNA is filed under the name uncultured bacterium. Its description in RNAcentral is "bacterial SSU rRNA". It matches the Rfam family "Bacterial small subunit ribosomal RNA", at positions 8 to 525 of the family's 1533-position model. The record is from RNAcentral.
AGAGUUUGAUCCUGGCUCAGAAUGAACGCUGGCGGCGUGCCUAACACAUGCAAGUCGUACGAGAAAGGGGCUUCGGCCCUGAGUAGAGUGGCGCACGGGUGAGUAACGCGUGGGUAAUCUACCCUUGGAUUUGGGAUAACUCUGCGAAAGUGGAGCUAAUACCGGAUAGUCUGGCUUUUAAUAGAAGUCGGUAAAGGAUGCCUCUGCAUAUGCAUUCGUCCGAGGAUGAGCCCGCGUCUCAUUAGCUAGUUGGUAGGGUAAUGGCCUACCAAGGCAACGAUGAGUAGCUGGUCUGAGAGGAUGAUCAGCCACACUGGAACUGAAACACGGUCCAGACUCCUACGGGAGGCAGCAGUGAGGAAUAUUGGUCAAUGGGCGCAAGCCUGAACCAGCCAUCCCGCGUGCAGGAAGACGGCCCUAUGGGUUGUAAACUGCUUUUCCAGGGGGAGAAACUUGCGCACGUGUUGCGCAAUUGACGGUACCCUGGGAAUAAGCAUCGGCUAACUCCGUGCCAGCAGCCGCGGUAAUA